UCGCAUGCGACGACAGCAAGAAAAGAAACGACACUUUUUCCGGUAGCUCCGUGCGGUUGCAUCGUCGUCACCAUCGCGAGGAGGAAAUAAUUGUGCUGAUUGGCAGUUAAAUUCACCCUUCAUCAGCUUCGCAAGUGAGUUUUAGAUUUAACCGAUUAAAGCCGCUUCCAAACCAAAUCGAGCAAAGACGUCUUUGUUUCUACGACGUGAACCAGAUUUUGGAGGAACAGCCGGGGAAACAAUCGCGGCAUAACGAGACUCCGAGUACGGGGCGACUCCUCGAGCGAGCGCGGUUUUGGAUUUAAGGUGCAAACGCCGAGUGAAACUCGCACGGGAAGUCCGGAACCUGGCAGGACAGGGAAAAAGAGAAGCAGGCAGAUCACCAUAAUUCGGCUUCGGCCGAGAGUGCCAGCACCUAGCGAUCUCAAGAUCAGACAAAAGCCAAAGGUGAAUCGCGUGGAAGAACACCACGAUUUCGGUCGGCAGAAACCGUCUACGGUUUGAGCAGUCAGUCAGGAUACAGACAGGACGAAAGCACCCCAUCGUUUGGGGUGUUUCUGGAGUAUCAAAACUGUUGCACGAUUUCGGACGGAAAUCUCGUCAUCGACGACGAGCUCAGCAAGGGCCUCGGAGAGAUCCCAUCCAGCAAAGCGGUCGCACUGGACGGCCAGAGGGAUCUCCAGCGGAGGCAGCAACCUUGUGAGUGGCGCGGCGAGGGACAGCGCUUUUGGCAGAAUGCGUGGGUGGUGCGGCGAUAGUCGUCCGUCCGCGACAAGGAUCGGUACGGUAGGGGGACGCCCCAUGUAGCCGCUUCCGAAUGCGAACAAGGGCACCGUGAGUACGGAGAAGAAACCGUGAGUAAGAAAACUGAGGUGUUUUGUAAAGUAGGAAGAUAGAGAAAGAGGAGUGAAAGGGAAAGAAGAUAAGAUGACUAGGAGGUAGGAAGUAACAGA
Molecule: long non-coding RNA, 953 nt
Organism: Armigeres subalbatus
Lineage: Eukaryota; Metazoa; Arthropoda; Insecta; Diptera; Culicidae
Exons: 4
Source: RefSeq, a predicted model, not a curated record